Molecule: small RNA, 27 nt
Filed under: Bombyx mori (domestic silkworm)
Lineage: Eukaryota; Metazoa; Arthropoda; Insecta; Lepidoptera; Bombycidae
Description: ovarian small RNA-34347
Source: RNAcentral
UGCUUUCUGUGCCUUUUCGGUAAUGUU